UAUUGUUAGAGACAGUGUAGUGCUGUGGUU
RNAcentral lists this non-coding RNA (30 nucleotides) under Homo sapiens (human). Lineage: Eukaryota; Metazoa; Chordata; Mammalia; Primates; Hominidae. The record is from RNAcentral.